CAGCGCGCAGCCCCGCCCGGCCCCGCCAUUGGUGGACCGCAGUUGCUAGGGCGGCUGCGCACUUUCAUUGGUGUGAUUGUCCGUCCAUCUUACUCUCGUCGCCGCCUCCGGGCUGAAGCCCAACCGCCCCUCCUGGAAGGGCGCUGUCGCCGCAGCCAAUGGAGGCCCGGAGACGGAGCAGGGGCGGAGCCAGAACAAACAGGAGGCGGGGACUCUGCUCCCGCAGCCAAUGGCGGGGCGGGGCGGGGGCGAGUAGGGGGUGGGGCCGAGUGUUUACACUCUCGCGUGCGCCUGUCAGCGCCGCGAACUCGGUCCCACGCCGUCGGGUCUGCACGCCCCGAGUCGGGCGGGGCGUGGGGCCGUGCUGGGUCCCGGCGUGGGGCCUCCCCACCUGCCCACCAGGUGCCGGGCCGGGUGGGGCUUAGGGGGUCGGUCCAGUUCGCGGACGCGGCCGGAAGGCCCCCCGCAGGCCGCCUCCCCGCAAGAGUCCCUGUCGCCGUAGAAUCCAGGCUCGCGGUCUCUCCCCACAGUUCAUCCAGGGCCUCGUCCUUGCCCCAUUUACGCGGCGUGCCUGAAUGCCUGUGUGUGCACAUGCGCCUGUGUACGUACUCAUGUGUUUGUGUGUGUGCAUAUCUGCGUGUGCAUGUGUGCCUCUGCAGGUGUCUGCACAUGUAUGUGUCUGCGUGUGCACGUGUGCCUCUGCAGGUGUCUGCACAUGUAUGUGUCUGCGUGUGCACGUGUGCCUCUGCAGGUCUGCACAUGUAUGUGCGUGUGCACGUGUGCCUCUGCAGGUGUCUGCACAUGUAUGUGCAUGUGUGCCUUUGCAGGCAUCUUUGCAUGUGUGUGUCUGCGUGUGCUGCUUCUGUCUAUGCAUGUGCUCCUAUGUGUGUGUGCACUAGCUUGUUUGUGCAUCCAUGCAUGUGUUUGUGUGUGUGCUGGAGAAGAUGGGGUAGGACCCCUCCAGCCUUUAGGCUUCUCUUCUGCUCUCAAGAGCAAGGGGUGCCAGGGCGAGGCCUGCCCUUCGCUCUGAGGGUCUCACCAGGUGCACACUGGUUUAUUUGGUGCAAAAUUCAGGCAGCAGGCAAGCGGCGAACUCCGUCCAAGAAGAAGGAUAAUGCCUCCCCCACUUCAUCCCCUCCACCCUGCGUUGUGUAG
This 1155-nucleotide long non-coding RNA is filed under the name Papio anubis (olive baboon). Its description in RNAcentral is "lncRNA (ENSPANG00000045067.1)". Lineage: Eukaryota; Metazoa; Chordata; Mammalia; Primates; Cercopithecidae. The record is from RNAcentral.